UGAGGAAUAUUGGACAAUGGGCGCAAGCCUGAUCCAGCCAUGCCGCGUGCAUGAAGAAGCAUUUAUGGUUUUUAAACUGUUUCUGUACGGGAAGAAACACUCCUACGUGUAGCAGCUUUACGUUACCGUAAGAAUAAGGAUCGGCUAACCCCGUGCCAUCAGCCGCGGUAAUACGGAGGGUCCGAGCGUUAACCGGAAUCAUUGGGUUUAAAGGGUCCGUAGGCGGUUUCAUAAGUCAGUGGUGAAAGCCCAUCGCUCAACGAUGGAACGGCCAUUGAUACUGUUAGACUUGAAUUACAAAGAAGUGACUAGAAUAUGUAGUGUAGCGGUGAAAUGCUUAGAUAUGACAUGGAAUACCAAUUGCGAAGGCAGGUUACUACUUGUGGAUUGACGCUGAUGGACGAAAGCGUGGGGAGCAAACA
This 422-nucleotide ribosomal RNA is filed under the name uncultured bacterium. RNAcentral's name for it is "bacterial SSU rRNA". It matches the Rfam family "Bacterial small subunit ribosomal RNA", at positions 355 to 774 of the family's 1533-position model. The record is from RNAcentral.